AUUUAGUUCAAGAUGAAGAUUUCUGUGAAAAGUGUUCGAUAAACUAAUGAAACUAGGACAACAUUUUUGUUUAAGAAACAUUUGUAUUACUAAUGAAAAAUAACUUGAUGGGAUAAUAUCCUAUGGGAUGAACACAAUCUCUAUUAUGUUUAAUUUCAAUAUCACUGGUCAAGGUCACAGUAGCAGUUUAUAGACACAGAAAUAAGGACCGC
RNAcentral lists this long non-coding RNA (212 nucleotides) under Mytilus galloprovincialis (Mediterranean mussel). Lineage: Eukaryota; Metazoa; Mollusca; Bivalvia; Mytilida; Mytilidae. The record is from RNAcentral.